RNAcentral lists this unclassified non-coding RNA (266 nucleotides) under Glomeraceae sp. RNAcentral describes it as "partial contains 5.8S ribosomal RNA and internal transcribed spacer 2". The stretch from base 1 to 71 matches the Rfam family "5.8S ribosomal RNA", at positions 84 to 154 of the family's 154-position model. The record is from RNAcentral. Lineage: Eukaryota; Fungi; Glomeromycota; Glomeromycetes; Glomerales; Glomeraceae.
GUGAAUCAUCGAAUUUUUGAACGCAAAUUGCGCUUCCUGGCAUCCCGGGGAGCAUGCCUGUUUGAGGGUCAGUAUUAAUAAAAAAUUGGUUUAGGUACACACCUUUACGUUUCCGGAGUUUGGGCUAUUUUCACAUUUUAGGCUACGAGGCUUAAAAUUGACCUUUUUUGCGCACUCUUAAACGUACAUAAAUUUUUUUUAUUAGUCUUUUCUUAAUGCCAUAUUCUUAUUAGAUCCGAUCACAUCGUGUGGCUUCGUGCUCAUAC